RNAcentral lists this ribosomal RNA (166 nucleotides) under uncultured bacterium. RNAcentral's name for it is "partial 16S rRNA". It matches the Rfam family "Bacterial small subunit ribosomal RNA", at positions 354 to 511 of the family's 1533-position model. The record is from RNAcentral.
GUAGGGAAUCUUCCACAAUGGGCGCAAGCCUGAUGGAGCAAUACCGCGUGAGUGAAGAAGGGUUUCGGCUCGUAAAAGCUCUGUUGUUAAAGAAGAACACGUAUGAGAGUAACUGUUCAUACGUUGACGGUAUUUAACCAGAAAGUCACGGCUAACUACGUGGCAG